UCCUACGGGAGGCAGCAGUGGGGAAUAUUGCACAAUGGGGGAAACCCUGAUGCAGCCAUGCCGCGUGUGUGAAGGAGGCCUUCGGGUUGUAAAGCACUUUCAGCGAGGAGGAAAGGUUGGCGCCUAAUACGUGUCAACUGUGACGUUACUCGCAGAAGAAGCACCGGCUAACUCCGUGCCAGCAGCCGCGGUAAU
RNAcentral lists this ribosomal RNA (195 nucleotides) under uncultured Aeromonas sp. RNAcentral's name for it is "partial 16S ribosomal RNA". It matches the Rfam family "Bacterial small subunit ribosomal RNA", at positions 337 to 524 of the family's 1533-position model. Lineage: Bacteria; Pseudomonadati; Pseudomonadota; Gammaproteobacteria; Aeromonadales; Aeromonadaceae. The record is from RNAcentral.